This 1125-nucleotide unclassified non-coding RNA is filed under the name Penaeus japonicus. Its description in RNAcentral is "uncharacterized LOC122257883, transcript variant X3". The record is from RNAcentral. Lineage: Eukaryota; Metazoa; Arthropoda; Malacostraca; Decapoda; Penaeidae.
GAGAAGUCAGAUCGCGCUGUGCUGUAGCGCCGAGUCUUUGUUUAAACAUUGAUGAAAAAAAUAAGUUUUCUCCUUCCCAAAGUCACGUGCGAUUGCUGUCAAUGCUUCUAGUAGUGUAUGUGACAGUAUAAGGGUCUUCAGCGUAGGGAACAUACCUUCAUGAGCGACAUACCAUUGUUUACAAGCGCAGAAAUUAAAUACUAACCCACGGAAACUAAAGUGCGACUUGCGUUCUCAUGCUGGCACAGUGCAUGUAAAUACAAGUCCAGGUGUCCCAGUGAGUGUUGUGAUCAGUGUUCGUCCGUGAGUAAGAUCACAUGUCCUGCGGCAUCUCAGGUGGCGGGAGGAGGAGUGAGGGCGAGCGCAGGCCAAAUAGCUGUGGAGGAGAGCUGCAGGAUCUCCAGCCUUGCUUACCUAAAGCCAAUUAAUAUCAACAACUUAUCUUAAGAGUGCGUAUGGUAAAAAUAUAUGUGUGGUGCACGAAGACUGUGCAGCACACAUGUUGUGUGGUCGUAUCACGAAAAUCCUCCGGACAAUACUGCACACCCAUCCGUCUCGCUGCAGACCUGAGCGUGCGGUAAAACAUUCGCGACUGUGGCAACCUGUUCGCCUUCUCUUCCCGUAACUCCCAACGGCGUCAUAGAUCAUUGCAGCUAAUGCGUACACCCAGCACCUGGAGGGCCGAUGCACCAAACCCGAAAAAGCUCAAGGCUAAGGUGCAAGGCUGCCAGAUCAUCUCUGGAGUCGUCUUGAAAGACAACCAAUUUCGUAUCAGAUGUUCCCUUGGUCAAGAGUGACAACUGUCCGAGGGGACGACGACCUUGGCUGCUCGAGCUGUCGGGCCAACAGUGAACGAACACUUGCUGCUGCGUUGUAACUUCGGGUUGAACGGGUCCGUGCCGUCUCUGUCAUUGGGAUUUGACUCUGUUCGCAAAGCUCAGUCAGUAUGCAGUUCCUAAAAUGUAAAUAUUGGCCGCUAAAUAUUGGUUUAUCGUAUCAUAAGAUAUAGGCAAGAAUGAUAUGUUUAAUACAUCCAUAUAUUUAUAUUUGUAUUUAUCUAUCUAUCUAUCUAUCUAUCUAUAGAUACACACACACACACACACACACACACACUUACACACACAC